UACGGAGGGUGCAAGCGUUAUCCGGAUUUACUGGGUUUAAAGGGUGCGCAGGCGGAUAUGUAAGUCAGUGGUGAAAUCUCCGGGCUUAACCCAGAAACUGCCGUUGAUACUAUAUAUCUUGAAUGCUGUGGAGGUAAGCAGAAUAUGUCAUGUAGCGGUGAAAUGCUUAGAGAUGACAUAGAAUACCUAUUGCGAAGGCAGCUUACUACGCAGAUAUUGACGCUCAUGCACGAAAGCGUGGGGAUCAAACAGG
RNAcentral lists this ribosomal RNA (253 nucleotides) under uncultured bacterium. RNAcentral describes it as "partial 16S ribosomal RNA". It matches the Rfam family "Bacterial small subunit ribosomal RNA", at positions 524 to 776 of the family's 1533-position model. The record is from RNAcentral.